This 204-nucleotide ribosomal RNA is filed under the name uncultured Chlamydiales bacterium. Its description in RNAcentral is "partial 16S ribosomal RNA". It matches the Rfam family "Bacterial small subunit ribosomal RNA", at positions 308 to 505 of the family's 1533-position model. Lineage: Bacteria; Pseudomonadati; Chlamydiota; Chlamydiia; Chlamydiales. The record is from RNAcentral.
CAACACUGGGACUGAGAACUGCCCAGACUCCUACGGGAGGCUGCAGUCGAGAAUCAUUCGCAAUGGGCGAAAGCCUGACGAUGCGACGCCGUGUGAGCGAAGAAGGCCUUCGGGUUGUAAAGCUCUUUCGCUUGGGAACAAGAGAAGCUAGAUAAUACCUAGCCUAUUUGAGGGUACCAGGUAAAGAAGCACCGGCUAACUCCA